GGAGGAGCUCCUUAAAUUCCGGGUCAGCCCAGGAGCCGGGGUUCUCCAGCAAAGAACAAGAAGGCAAUUGUCUCCCAAAUGUCCAGCACUGCACUCACGUGCAUAACGCCGUCCGCAGACAGAAGGGGAGCAUCCCGUAAGCCCGUCAUGAUGACCACAUAAAGAUAAAGGUGCUGCUCAAAUCUGGUCCUGAUUUAACUGGAGGAACUGCCCCUGCCAGCAAGCCCUGAUUGCCCAGCCCAGCAACCUCUGCCUGUCUCCAGCCUCAAGCCCCUUUAGUGAUCUUCAGUAUCUCCAGCUUUGCAGUCAUCCUGUGUCCAUGGGAAAAGUGUAUCUUUGUGCUUUCUGUUGCUGUAAAAACACCAUGAGCAAAGGCAGCUCCGGAGUUAGGGUUUAUUUGGCUCACAUAUUGGGAUCAGAAUCCAUCAUUGAGGGGAUUCAGGGCAGGACCACCUUCCCAGGGGUGGCAAUGCCCAAGGUAUACCGGGCCCACCCACAGCAAUCAACAACCAAGACCACACCUACAGGACAGUCUGCACGGAGGCAUUUUCUCACCUGAGCGUCCUUCCUCCAGAUGACUCUAGUCUGUGUCAAAUUGACAAAAAUCUAACCAGGACAAGUGCUACACAUUCAACAAAACAUGGAAAUGCAGGGAAUCACACUUGGAAUGCACGGGAACCCACACCUGUCAUCACAGCACCUGGGACACACGGGCAGGCUGGGAUCCCAGGAAAGGGGCAGCAGAGACCAGAGAGGAAGGUAAAUGGAGCAUGAUGGCUGCCCGAAGAGCUGGUGCAACACAUGGAACAAUCUCACCUUCCUGCUGAUUCCCCCCCCCCCACCUUCCUGCUGAUUCCCUUACUGAUGAUGACGAUUCCUGCACACAGUGAAGUCCACUGGGCCUAUGUUCCUGACCCACCACUGAUACACUUCUUGGAUCUCCCUGGGCAAGGGAGUCAACUUAUAAUAAAACCAUGACUUUCAAUGCAUUUGGUGAUGGGAUUCCUGUUUGCUUUGUGAAGAACAGUACAAAUGAUGGGUGUAUUUCUGUGUUCAUUCAGAUGUGGAAGAAAAACAUUUCACAAACCGUAACUCAAAGCAUAGAGAUGGACACAGUUAAAUAUUAUGAGGGACCUGCCCCUGAUCCUCUUGAGAUAUGGCCUUGUGGGUCUGAACCCACAAAGAAGGUGGAACGGGCAUUUCACACAACUGUUAAAUGGAGAAAAUGUUAUAAUCAACCCCCAAUGUGGUUUAAUGUUUCCAAUAAUAUGUGAAUUAUUGAUUGGGCAGGGAAUCAAUCAAACACUGGGCAAAGGAGAUGUCCAUAGGCCUUUGGCAAUCAGAUGCCAUUUCUAACAUCAUAUUUGGAAGUUAGCUACCGCUCUCUAUGAAGUUACAUUGACAAUAGACAAAAUUGGGACAGGGUCUGGAUUUCAAACAAGUGUUAGUGCAUGUGUUAAAGCUCCUAAUCUUUUAUUAAUUGGUCAUGUUAAGAUUACUUUUGUUUCUUCUACAGUAUUUAAUAUAAGUUGAGUUGAUUGUAUACUUUCUAAUUGUGUUAGUGUGUUCAAAUCUGGCAUUUCUGUCAUGGUAGUCUAUCAACCAACUUUUGUUUUACUGUCUGUGAGUAUAACAGGACCUUGGCAUUCUGAAAAAAGCCUACAAAUCCUGGAAGAAGUGAGUGGAGUUUUAAUCAGAAGCAAGAGGGUAGUGGGCUUUAUCAUUGCUGGUAUAGAGGCUUUGAUUACAUUAACAGCCAAUACCACGGCUUCUGCAAUUGCUUUGACACAAGAAGUUAAGACAACCACUUUUGUUAAUCAUUUAGCAAAAAAAAAAAAAAAGUUUCUAAUGCUCUGAGUAUUCAAGAAGACUUAGAUAAGCGUUUGGAACAAUGGAUUGAUGCCCUUUAUGAUACUAUUCAAAUUAUUGGAGAGGAGGUUCAGAGUCUAAGAGUAGGAAGACAUCUCAAGUGUCAUGCUAAAUACCAAUGGAUUUGUGUUACAACUAAAAUUUACAAAGAUAGUCACUAUAAUUGGGAGAAAAUUCAAAGACAUUUGCAGGGUAUUUGGCGUAAUUCUAACACCUCUCUGGAUAUCUUAACUUUGUGCAACAAGAUUAUGAAUUUAAAGAAUACUGCAGAUACUGCUGAUAAAAUAAUUUGUGGCUUAAGGUUAGUAUUUCCAUCUUAAGUCAAGCUUCUUCAAGAGUGGCUUAUAUAGCUUGAUCAUGUUGGCCCUUCUUAUCCUGGGAAUACUUUUAUUCCUGUCCAUUUCAAUAAAACUUGCCUUUAACAACAUCAGCAUGUUGGUGGCCAAAAUACAUGGCUUGAAACUAAAAAUGAAUCCCCAGACAGAGCCAUUAAUUUAACAACCUAGCAGUCAACUGAUGGAUGAGAUUCCACACAGAGUCUUAACUAAGACAGAAACUCAUUGCUUUUGAGAAUACAUAUUCCGUGAUGGGUAAGGAAGGUGUUCUUGUCUCAACAACCUAAGACAGAGGAACUCUUGUUUAUGAAAUAAAACAGGGGAGGUGUGGAGAGCUCUUUGGGUUGAUUUAGGAAUUUGGCAGGAAUUUGGCAUUGGGCUAGGACAAGGAAGUAGACUCCAGGUGAAUACAGCUGAGGUUUGUGUACUUUGUAUCUUGAUGGGUCUUGUUGGACCCUGAAUACAGUAAUCAUGGGACAUUUCUCUAUGCUUUGUUGUUCAACUACUCUGCAUAUGCCUCAGGACUGACCGCAUUCUCAGCAUGUGCCUAGAGCUAUAGAAAAACAGACUGGAAAAAAAUUAAACCCAGUUCAGCUUCAGAACUGGUUGGAAUCAUGUUACUGUAUUGUCUAAUUGUCUUUUUCUUUUCAAUUCUCACUCCCUCCCUCAAGACCUCUUUGACUGACUGAGCUGGCUUGCUCAUAUACAUAUACACACAGUUACAGUUAGCAGGUGGAAGGAAUGAUGCUGCAACAACGCUAUUUUUUCUCCCAUAGUUUAUAUCCCAGCAAAAUCUUUCAAGCAGUAUAAAAUUAUGAUGGUGAUUGGGUUUUAGUUCUAGUGAAUGGUUAUGAAAAAAGCAGUAUGUUUCCCAAUACCUUUGCAAGAAACAACAUUUUGUAGCACAGGUAAAGAAAACAAAUUAUUCCCAAGAACCUACGUACAUUUGUAACUAAGCAACUUGUUAUAGUUUAACAAAGUGUAAGCAAGCAGUGUGGUUUACUCAGCCAGUUUCUCUUACUGGGAGGCAGUAAUUUUCGGUUACCAAGAAAGGAUUUUUUUAUUAUUUAUCCUUUUAAAAAUCAGUCAUAGAACCGGGCAGUGGUGGCACACACCUUUAAUCCCAGCACUUGGAAGGCAGAAGCAGGCGGAUUUCUGAGUUCAAGGCCAGCCUGGUCUACAGAGUGAGUUCCAGGACAGCCAGGGCUACACAGAGAAACCCUGUCUCAGAAAACCAAACGAACAAACAAACAAAAAACAAAAAAAAACCAACCUUCAGUCAUAUCUACCUUAUAUCCCCAGAGUCAAUCAUCACUAGUCAGCCUCAGUGAGAGUCACGUCAAUCAGUGCUGCCUUUGUUCUUGUUCCCUGACCAUAAAAAGUCCCUAGCUUAACUAAUAAGAUGUGCCUUUUUGAACUUCAGAUUGUUCCCUAAGAUUUUUCUACAUCAGAGCCAAUUACAAAAACAUCUUAACUUCGCUUCACUAACAAUUUUAUUUUUCAAAAAAAUUUUUUUUCUAAAGGUCAUGGUCAUUGCUGGCAAUCUACAUCCUAAAUUCUCUCCUCGGGUGGCGAUUGAAUCAUUAAUCUGCUCCAGCAGCAAUGCCUGAAAGACAUCAAGCAUUAGUACUGUGAGUGCCAGAGACACAGCCCAGUGAGGGACUGGGAGCUCCUUGGAGUUUUCACACAAUUCUUAGAUUAGGAGGGAUGUGAGGGCAGCAAGCAGAGCAGAACUCCACGACAGCAUGAUGUCCUCAGGACACAUGGUCCUCUGGGCCCUCAGGGUUGUUCCUCUCCAAGGAGCACCCACCAAGGCUGUGCUAACUGGCUGGGUUGCAUUCCAUAAAGCCAUCUGUUGCCUCUCCCUCAAGGCCCUCAGCAGGAGGUUUCAGGAAAGAGCAGUCAAGGCGGCAUGGGGCUGUGUGUUUGAGAAGACUGCAUGACAAGGAGAUGGAGUGUGGAGAAGGGCACUUGUCUUCUAGUAUACAAGAUAACGGAUUUCUUCCUGGCACCGGAGCUCCACCCUAAA
This is a long non-coding RNA of Mus musculus (house mouse), 4233 nucleotides long. RefSeq annotates it as predicted gene, 26666. The transcript is spliced from 5 exons. The record is from RefSeq and is a predicted model, not a curated record. Lineage: Eukaryota; Metazoa; Chordata; Mammalia; Rodentia; Muridae.